UACGGAGGAUGCGAGCGUUAUCCGGAUUUAUUGGGUUUAAAGGGUGCGUAGGCGGUCCGGAAAGUCAGCGGUAAAAGCCCGGGGCUCAACCCCGGCGAGCCGUUGAAACUGUCGGACUAGAGACGGCGAGAAGUACGCGGAAUGCGCGGUGUAGCGGUGAAAUGCAUAGAUAUCGCGCAGAACUCCGAUUGCGAAGGCAGCGUACCGGCACCGGACUGACGCUGAGGCACGAAAGCGUGGGUAUCGAACAGG
This 252-nucleotide ribosomal RNA is filed under the name uncultured bacterium. RNAcentral describes it as "partial 16S ribosomal RNA". It matches the Rfam family "Bacterial small subunit ribosomal RNA", at positions 524 to 776 of the family's 1533-position model. The record is from RNAcentral.